Molecule: non-coding RNA, 360 nt
Organism: Vidua macroura (Pin-tailed whydah)
Lineage: Eukaryota; Metazoa; Chordata; Aves; Passeriformes; Viduidae
Source: the annotation of a RefSeq genome assembly
CCCGCGGGGCUCCGGGCGGCCGUGACCCUGCUGGAGUCCGGGGGGGACCUCCAGCCCCCCGGGGGGUCCCUGCGCCUCCUCUGCCGCGCCUCCGGCUUCGAUUUCGGGAGUCACGACAUGUUCUGGAUCCGCCAGAGACCCGGGCAGGCGCUGGAGUGGGUCGGGAGCGUCAGGAAGGAAGGCUGGAGCUCCGCGUACGCGCCGUCGGUGCGGGGCCGAUUCGGGAUCUCCCGGGACAACGGGCAGAGCUCGGUGACGCUGGCCAUGAACGGCCUCAAGGACGAGGAUUCCGGCUCCUAUUUCUGUGCCAGAAGUUUCCGCGGUGGUUACAGCGGUGCUGCUGUUGCUCCUGGGCCCUGA